Heterocephalus glaber (naked mole-rat) is the source of this 607-nucleotide RNA transcript. It is a transcript of the gene named natural resistance-associated macrophage protein 2-like, with no coding region annotated. NCBI's taxonomy places the organism in Eukaryota, Metazoa, Chordata, Mammalia, Rodentia, Bathyergidae. The record is from RefSeq and is a predicted model, not a curated record.
GCCAGAAGCACUGUCAGCGGCAGGGAUUCGGCCAAUGCAAUGGGCGGCGGCCUUCCAGCCGGCCAAUGACGCUUGGCAGGGAUUAGGCUGGCCAGGUCUCAUUAUACACUCCAGGCUAACUUUGACCUUGCUAUGCAGUCCUCAAAUUUGCAUUCUUUCUGCCUCAGCAUGACUCUUAUUCUAAGAACAUGGGCCCUCAGGUGCCCACCAUGGUGUUGGGUCCUGAACAGAAGAUGGCAGGUGUUGCUCUGGGUCCUUCUUUUGGCCACCAUUGUAGGGCUGCUGCUCCAGCGCCUUGCAGCUAGACUGGGAGUGGUCACCGGGCUGCACCUUGCUGAAGUUUGUCACCGUCAGUAUCCCAAGAUCAGUUGUCCUUCCAGCCCCAGUGCCUGAGAGUGCUCUAGUCACUUUGUCACUGGCCCCAAUAUGGAGAAUGUGCAAUGCUUUCAGUGGGUGUGGAGUUCUUAACGGCUUAAUAAACUAGGAUUUAGGGGAACUUGCCACAACUGGUCAAGAAAUGACUCCUGCUAUCUUUCUCUAAUCUAGACAGAUAAAAUGUAAUGAUAAGCAGGAACUUCGAGAAGCCAAUAAAUACUUUUUCAUUGAA